UACGUAGGGUGCGAGCGUUGUCCGGAAUUAUUGGGCGUAAAGGGCUCGUAGGCGGUUUGUCGCGUCGGGAGUGAAAACACCGGGCUUAACUCGGUGCUUGCUUUCGAUACGGGCAGACUAGAGGCAUGCAGGGGAGAACGGAAUUCCUGGUGUAGCGGUGAAAUGCGCAGAUAUCAGGAGGAACACCGGUGGCGAAGGCGGUUCUCUGGGCAUGUCCUGACGCUCAGGCACGAAAGCGUGGGGAGCAAACAGG
This 253-nucleotide ribosomal RNA is filed under the name uncultured bacterium. Its description in RNAcentral is "partial 16S ribosomal RNA". It matches the Rfam family "Bacterial small subunit ribosomal RNA", at positions 524 to 776 of the family's 1533-position model. The record is from RNAcentral.